Molecule: ribosomal RNA, 3027 nt
Filed under: Salmonella enterica
Lineage: Bacteria; Pseudomonadati; Pseudomonadota; Gammaproteobacteria; Enterobacterales; Enterobacteriaceae
Description: bacterial LSU rRNA
Rfam family: Bacterial large subunit ribosomal RNA
Source: RNAcentral
GGGUUGUGAGGUUAAGCGACUAAGCGUACACGGUGGAUGCCCUGGCAGUCAGAGGCGAUGAAGGGCGUGCUAAUCUGCGAUAAGCGCCGGUAAGGUGAUAUGAACCGUUAUAACCGGCGAUACCCGAAUGGGGAAACCCAGUGUGAUUCGUCACACUAUCAUUAACUGAAUCCAUAGGUUAAUGAGGCGAACCGGGGGAACUGAAACAUCUAAGUACCCCGAGGAAAAGAAAUCAACCGAGAUUCCCCCAGUAGCGGCGAGCGAACGGGGAGGAGCCCAGAGCCUGAAUCAGCAUGUGUGUUAGUGGAAGCGUCUGGAAAGGCGCGCGAUACAGGGUGACAGCCCCGUACACAAAAGCGCAUGUGCUGUGAGCUCGAUGAGUAGGGCGGGACACGUGGUAUCCUGUCUGAAUAUGGGGGGACCAUCCUCCAAGGCUAAAUACUCCUGACUGACCGAUAGUGAACCAGUACCGUGAGGGAAAGGCGAAAAGAACCCCGGCGAGGGGAGUGAAAAAGAACCUGAAACCGUGUACGUACAAGCAGUGGGAGCCCCACCACUAAGCCAGUGGUGAACUCCACAUACGCAUCCUUUGCUGAGGAUACGGUUAACGGAGCGAAAGCGACGUUCAACCUCAAAAGAAGCAGAGGGGGCUUAGUGGUGGGGUGACUGCGUACCUUUUGUAUAAUGGGUCAGCGACUUAUAUUCUGUAGCAAGGUUAACCGUAUAGGGGAGCCGGAGGGAAACCGAGUCUUAAUUGGGCGUUAAGUUGCAGGGUAUAGACCCGAAACCCGGUGAUCUAGCCAUGGGCAGGUUGAAGGUUGGGUAACACUAACUGGAGGACCGAACCGACUAAUGUUGAAAAAUUAGCGGAUGACCUGUGGCUGGGGGUGAAAGGCCAAUCAAACCGGGAGAUAGCUGGUUCUCCCCGAAAGCUAUUUAGGUAGCGCCUCGUGAAUUCAUCUCCGGGGGUAGAGCACUGUUUCGGCUAGGGGGUCAUCCCGACUUACCAACCCGAUGCAAACUGCGAAUACCGGAGAAUGUUAUCACGGGAGACACACGGCGGGUGCUAACGUCCGUCGUGAAGAGGGAAACAACCCAGACCGCCAGCUAAGGUCCCAAAGUCAUGGUUAAGUGGGAAACGAUGUGGGAAGGCCCAGACAGCCAGGAUGUUGGCUUAGAAGCAGCCAUCAUUUAAAGAAAGCGUAAUAGCUCACUGGUCGAGUCGGCCUGCGCGGAAGAUGUAACGGGGCUAAACCAUGCACCGAAGCUGCGGCAGCGACACUGUGUGUUGUUGGGUAGGGGAGCGUUCUGUAAGCCUGUGAAGGUGGCCUGUGAGGGUUGCUGGAGGUAUCAGAAGUGCGAAUGCUGACAUAAGUAACGAUAAAGCGGGUGAAAAGCCCGCUCGCCGGAAGACCAAGGGUUCCUGUCCAACGUUAAUCGGGGCAGGGUGAGUCGACCCCUAAGGCGAGGCCGAAAGGCGUAGUCGAUGGGAAACGGGUUAAUAUUCCCGUACUUGGUGUUACUGCGAAGGGGGGACGGAGAAGGCUAUGUUGGCCGGGCGACGGUUGUCCCGGUUUAAGCGUGUAGGUGUGUUUUCCAGGCAAAUCCGGAUCACUUUAAGGCUGAGGCGUGACGACGAGGCACUACGGUGCUGAAGCAACAAAUGCCCUGCUUCCAGGAAAAGCCUCUAAGCAUCAGGUAACAUCAAAUCGUACCCCAAACCGACACAGGUGGUCAGGUAGAGAAUACCAAGGCGCUUGAGAGAACUCGGGUGAAGGAACUAGGCAAAAUGGUGCCGUAACUUCGGGAGAAGGCACGCUGACACGUAGGUGAAGUGAUUUACUCAUGGAGCUGAAGUCAGUCGAAGAUACCAGCUGGCUGCAACUGUUUAUUAAAAACACAGCACUGUGCAAACACGAAAGUGGACGUAUACGGUGUGACGCCUGCCCGGUGCCGGAAGGUUAAUUGAUGGGGUCAGCGCAAGCGAAGCUCCUGAUCGAAGCCCCGGUAAACGGCGGCCGUAACUAUAACGGUCCUAAGGUAGCGAAAUUCCUUGUCGGGUAAGUUCCGACCUGCACGAAUGGCGUAAUGAUGGCCAGGCUGUCUCCACCCGAGACUCAGUGAAAUUGAACUCGCUGUGAAGAUGCAGUGUACCCGCGGCAAGACGGAAAGACCCCGUGAACCUUUACUAUAGCUUGACACUGAACAUUGAGCCUUGAUGUGUAGGAUAGGUGGGAGGCUUUGAAGUGUGGACGCCAGUCUGCAUGGAGCCGACCUUGAAAUACCACCCUUUAAUGUUUGAUGUUCUAACGUGGACCCGUGAUCCGGGUUGCGGACAGUGUCUGGUGGGUAGUUUGACUGGGGCGGUCUCCUCCUAAAGAGUAACGGAGGAGCACGAAGGUUGGCUAAUCCUGGUCGGACAUCAGGAGGUUAGUGCAAUGGCAUAAGCCAGCUUGACUGCGAGCGUGACGGCGCGAGCAGGUGCGAAAGCAGGUCAUAGUGAUCCGGUGGUUCUGAAUGGAAGGGCCAUCGCUCAACGGAUAAAAGGUACUCCGGGGAUAACAGGCUGAUACCGCCCAAGAGUUCAUAUCGACGGCGGUGUUUGGCACCUCGAUGUCGGCUCAUCACAUCCUGGGGCUGAAGUAGGUCCCAAGGGUAUGGCUGUUCGCCAUUUAAAGUGGUACGCGAGCUGGGUUUAGAACGUCGUGAGACAGUUCGGUCCCUAUCUGCCGUGGGCGCUGGAGAACUGAGGGGGGCUGCUCCUAGUACGAGAGGACCGGAGUGGACGCAUCACUGGUGUUCGGGUUGUCAUGCCAAUGGCACUGCCCGGUAGCUAAAUGCGGAAGAGAUAAGUGCUGAAAGCAUCUAAGCACGAAACUUGCCCCGAGAUGAGUUCUCCCUGAGACUUUAGGUCUCCUGAAGGAACGUUGAAGACGACGACGUUGAUAGGCCGGGUGUGUAAGCGCAGCGAUGCGUUGAGCUAACCGGUACUAAUGAACCGUGAGGCUUAACCUUACAACGCCGAAG